GAUGAACGCUGGCGGCAUGCCUAACACAUGCAAGUCGAGCGAAAAGACGAGAAGCUUGCUCCUCUAGCGUUAGCGGCGGACGGGUGGGUGACUCGUGGAUAACCUACCAAUAAGCCGGGGAUAACAUCGGAAGACCGGCUCGAAUACCACCUAAUAUAUUCUACCGCUUGCAUCACGAGUCUUAGAGGACUUUCCUGUCUUUCAUAGCUGGAGCCGCGUUGCAUUAGCUAGUUGGUAAGGUAACGGCAUCCCGAGGCUACGAUGCGUAGCCGACCUGAGAGGAUGAUCCGCCACACUAGAACUGAGACACGGUCCAGACUCCUACGGGAGGCAGCAGUAGGGAAUCUUAGAGAAAGGGCGGAAGCCUGAUCGAGCAAUGCCGCGUGGGUGACGAAGGUCUUCGGAUAGUAAAACUCUGUUAUUAGGGAAGAACAACAGUAGGAGUAUACAUGCACGUUUUGACGGUACCUAAACAAAAAGCACCGGCUAACUACGUG
This 497-nucleotide ribosomal RNA is filed under the name uncultured bacterium. RNAcentral's name for it is "partial 16S ribosomal RNA". It matches the Rfam family "Bacterial small subunit ribosomal RNA", at positions 28 to 507 of the family's 1533-position model. The record is from RNAcentral.